GACGAACCGUGCGAACGUUGUUCGGAAUCACUGGGCUUAAAGGGCGCGUAGGCGGAUUUGCAAGUCUGCGGUGAAAGCCUCCAGCUUAACUGGAGAAGUGCCGUGGAUACUGCGGAUCUCGAGGAGGGUAGGGGCAUCUGGAACGUUGGGUGGAGCGGUGAAAUGCGUUGAUAUCCAACGGAACUCCGGUGGCGAAGGCGAGGUGCUGGACCCUUUCUGACGCUGAUGCGCGAAAGCCAGGGGAGCGAACGGG
Molecule: ribosomal RNA, 253 nt
Filed under: uncultured bacterium
Lineage: Bacteria
Description: partial 16S ribosomal RNA
Rfam family: Bacterial small subunit ribosomal RNA
Source: RNAcentral